UUGAACGCUGGCGGCAUGCUUUACACAUGCAAGUCGAACGGUAGACCCUUUCGGGGGUUGAGAGUGGCGAACGGGUGAGUAAUGUAUCGGAACGUACCUCGUCGUGGGGGAUAACGCAGCGAAAGUUGUGCUAAUACCGCAUACGUCCUGAGGGAGAAAGCGGGGGACCGUAAGGCCUCGCGCGAUGAGAGCGGCCGAUAUCUGAUUAGCUAGUUGGUGGGGUAAAGGCUCACCAAGGCGACGAUCAGUAGCUGGUCUGAGAGGACGACCAGCCACACUGGGACUGAGACACGGCCCAGACUCCUACGGGAGGCAGCAGUGGGGAAUUUUGGACAAUGGGGGCAACCCUGAUCCAGCCAUUCCGCGUGAGUGAAGAAGGCCUUCGGGUUGUAAAGCUCUUUCGGUGGGAACGAAACGGUACAGGCGAAUAACCUGUGCUAAUGACGGUACCCAAAGAAGAAGCACCGGCUAACUACGU
RNAcentral lists this ribosomal RNA (478 nucleotides) under uncultured bacterium. RNAcentral describes it as "bacterial SSU rRNA". It matches the Rfam family "Bacterial small subunit ribosomal RNA", at positions 30 to 506 of the family's 1533-position model. The record is from RNAcentral.